GUUUCCGUAGCUCAGUUGGUAGAGCAACUGACUCUUAAUCAGUGGGUCAAGGGUUCGAGCCCCUUCGGGAAUA
RNAcentral lists this transfer RNA (73 nucleotides) under Prevotellaceae bacterium. RNAcentral's name for it is "tRNA-Lys". It matches the Rfam family "tRNA". Rfam says of the family: Transfer RNA (tRNA) molecules are approximately 80 nucleotides in length. Their secondary structure includes four short double-helical elements and three loops (D, anti-codon, and T loops). RNAcentral also lists the same sequence under 1 other name. Lineage: Bacteria; Pseudomonadati; Bacteroidota; Bacteroidia; Bacteroidales; Prevotellaceae. The record is from RNAcentral.